GUUGAACGCUGGCGGUAGGCUUAACACAUGCAAGUCGUGCGAGAAAGUAUCUUCGGAUAUGAGUAGAGCGGCGGACGGGUGAGUAACGCGUAGGAAUCUACCUAGUAGAAGGGGAUAGCCCGGGGAAACCCGGAUUAAUACCGUAUACCUCCUUCGGGAGAAAGAAGGCCUCUCUUUGAAGCUUUCGCUAUUAGAUGAGCCUGCGUAAGAUUAGCUUGUUGGUGAGGUAAAGGCUCACCAAGGCGACGAUCUUUAGCUGGUCUGAGAGGACGAUCAGCCACAUUGGGACUGAGACACGGCCCAGACUCCUACGGGAGGCAGCAGUGGGGAAUAUUGGACAAUGGGCGCAAGCCUGAUCCAGCCAUACCGCGUGUGUGAAGAAGGCCUUCGGGUUGUAAAGCACUUUAAGCAGGGAGAAAAAGUUAUAAGUUAAUACCUUAUAACCCUGAUGUUACCUGCAGAAUAAGCACCGGCUAAUUCCGUGCCAGCAGCCGCGGUAAUACGGAAGGUGCAAGCGUUAAUCGGAAUUACUGGGCGUAAAGCGCGCGUAGGUGGUUUGUUAAGUUGGAUGUGAAAGCCCUGGGCUCAACCUAGGAACUGCAUCCAAAACUAACUCACUAGAGUACGAUAGAGGGAGGUAGAAUUCAUAGUGUAGCGGUGGAAUGCGUAGAUAUUAUGAAGAAUACCAGUGGCGAAGGCGGCCUCCUGGAUCUGUACUGACACUGAGGUGCGAAAGCGUGGGUAGCGAACAGGAUUAGAUACCCUGGUAGUCCACGCCGUAAACGAUGACAACUAGCUGUUGGGAGACUAUGUCUUUCAGUGGCGCAGCUAACGCUUUAAGUUGUCCGCCUGGGGAGUACGGCCGCAAGGCUAAAACUCAAAUGAAUUGACGGGGACCCGCACAAGCGGUGGAGCAUGUGGUUUAAUUCGAUGCAACGCGAAAAACCUUACCUACUCUUGACAUACUUGGAGGCUCUUGUAAUGAGAGUGUGCCUUUUGGAACCAAGAUACAGGUGCUGCAUGGCUGUCGUCAGCUCGUGUCGUGAGAUGUUCCGUUAAGUCGGGUAACGAGCGCAACCCUUACCCUUAUUUGCCAGCGAUUCGGUCGGGAACUAUAAGGGGACUGCCGGUGAUAAACCGGAGGAAGGUGAGGACGACGUCAAGUCAUCAUGGCCCUUACGAGUAGGGCUACACACGUGCUACAAUGGGAGAUACAGACGGACGCUAAGCCGCGAGGUGGUGCUAAUCCUAAAAAGUCUUUCGUAGUCCGGAUUGGAGUCUGCAACUCGACUCCAUGAAGUCGGAAUCGCUAGUAAUCGCGGAUCAGCAUGCCGCGGUGAAUACGUUCUCGGGUCU
RNAcentral lists this ribosomal RNA (1356 nucleotides) under uncultured bacterium. RNAcentral describes it as "bacterial SSU rRNA". It matches the Rfam family "Bacterial small subunit ribosomal RNA", at positions 28 to 1381 of the family's 1533-position model. The record is from RNAcentral.